This 2773-nucleotide ribosomal RNA is filed under the name Escherichia coli. Its description in RNAcentral is "bacterial LSU rRNA". It matches the Rfam family "Bacterial large subunit ribosomal RNA". The record is from RNAcentral. Lineage: Bacteria; Pseudomonadati; Pseudomonadota; Gammaproteobacteria; Enterobacterales; Enterobacteriaceae.
AGCGUACACGGUGGAUGCCCUGGCAGUCAGAGGCGAUGAAGGACGUGCUAAUCUGCGAUAAGCGUCGGUAAGGUGAUAUGAACCGUUAUAACCGGCGAUUUCCGAAUGGGGAAACCCAGUGUGUUUCGACACACUAUCAUUAACUGAAUCCAUAGGUUAAUGAGGCGAACCGGGGGAACUGAAACAUCUAAGUACCCCGAGGAAAAGAAAUCAACCGAGAUUCCCCCAGUAGCGGCGAGCGAACGGGGAGCAGCCCAGAGCCUGAAUCAGUGUGUGUGUUAGUGGAAGCGUCUGGAAAGGCGUGCGAUACAGGGUGACAGCCCCGUACACAAAAAUGCACAUAUUGUGAGCUCGAUGAGUAGGGCGGGACACGUGGUAUCCUGUCUGAAUAUGGGGGGACCAUCCUCCAAGGCUAAAUACUCCUGACUGACCGAUAGUGAACCAGUACCGUGAGGGAAAGGCGAAAAGAACCCCGGCGAGGGGAGUGAAAAAGAACCUGAAACCGUGUACGUACAAGCAGUGGGAGCACGCUUAGGCGUGUGACUGCGUACCUUUUGUAUAAUGGGUCAGCGACUUAUAUUCUGUAGCAAGGUUAACCGAAUAGGGGAGCCGAAGGGAAACCGAGUCUUAACUGGGCGUUAAGUUGCAGGGUAUAGACCCGAAACCCGGUGAUCUAGCCAUGGGCAGGUUGAAGGUUGGGUAACACUAACUGGAGGACCGAACCGACUAAUGUUGAAAAAUUAGCGGAUGACUUGUGGCUGGGGGUGAAAGGCCAAUCAAACCGGGAGAUAGCUGGUUCUCCCCGAAAGCUAUUUAGGUAGCGCCUCGUGAAUUCAUCUCCGGGGGUAGAGCACUGUUUCGGCAAGGGGGUCAUCCCGACUUACCAACCCGAUGCAAACUGCGAAUACCGGAGAAUGUUAUCACGGGAGACACACGGCGGGUGCUAACGUCCGUCGUGAAGAGGGAAACAACCCAGACCGCCAGCUAAGGUCCCAAAGUCAUGGUUAAGUGGGAAACGAUGUGGGAAGGCCCAGACAGCCAGGAUGUUGGCUUAGAAGCAGCCAUCAUUUAAAGAAAGCGUAAUAGCUCACUGGUCGAGUCGGCCUGCGCGGAAGAUGUAACGGGGCUAAACCAUGCACCGAAGCUGCGGCAGCGACGCUUAUGCGUUGUUGGGUAGGGGAGCGUUCUGUAAGCCUGUGAAGGUGUGCUGUGAGGCAUGCUGGAGGUAUCAGAAGUGCGAAUGCUGACAUAAGUAACGAUAAAGCGGGUGAAAAGCCCGCUCGCCGGAAGACCAAGGGUUCCUGUCCAACGUUAAUCGGGGCAGGGUGAGUCGACCCCUAAGGCGAGGCCGAAAGGCGUAGUCGAUGGGAAACAGGUUAAUAUUCCUGUACUUGGUGUUACUGCGAAGGGGGGACGGAGAAGGCUAUGUUGGCCGGGCGACGGUUGUCCCGGUUUAAGCGUGUAGGCUGGUUUUCCAGGCAAAUCCGGAAAAUCAAGGCUGAGGCGUGAUGACGAGGCACUACGGUGCUGAAGCAACAAAUGCCCUGCUUCCAGGAAAAGCCUCUAAGCAUCAGGUAACAUCAAAUCGUACCCCAAACCGACACAGGUGGUCAGGUAGAGAAUACCAAGGCGCUUGAGAGAACUCGGGUGAAGGAACUAGGCAAAAUGGUGCCGUAACUUCGGGAGAAGGCACGCUGAUAUGUAGGUGAAGUCCCUUGCGGAUGGAGCUGAAAUCAGUCGAAGAUACCAGCUGGCUGCAACUGUUUAUUAAAAACACAGCACUGUGCAAACACGAAAGUGGACGUAUACGGUGUGACGCCUGCCCGGUGCCGGAAGGUUAAUUGAUGGGGUCAGCGCAAGCGAAGCUCUUGAUCGAAGCCCCGGUAAACGGCGGCCGUAACUAUAACGGUCCUAAGGUAGCGAAAUUCCUUGUCGGGUAAGUUCCGACCUGCACGAAUGGCGUAAUGAUGGCCAGGCUGUCUCCACCCGAGACUCAGUGAAAUUGAACUCGCUGUGAAGAUGCAGUGUACCCGCGGCAAGACGGAAAGACCCCGUGAACCUUUACUAUAGCUUGACACUGAACAUUGAGCCUUGAUGUGUAGGAUAGGUGGGAGGCUUUGAAGUGUGGACGCCAGUCUGCAUGGAGCCGACCUUGAAAUACCACCCUUUAAUGUUUGAUGUUCUAACGUGGACCCGUGAUCCGGGUUGCGGACAGUGUCUGGUGGGUAGUUUGACUGGGGCGGUCUCCUCCUAAAGAGUAACGGAGGAGCACGAAGGUUGGCUAAUCCUGGUCGGACAUCAGGAGGUUAGUGCAAUGGCAUAAGCCAGCUUGACUGCGAGCGUGACGGCGCGAGCAGGUGCGAAAGCAGGUCAUAGUGAUCCGGUGGUUCUGAAUGGAAGGGCCAUCGCUCAACGGAUAAAAGGUACUCCGGGGAUAACAGGCUGAUACCGCCCAAGAGUUCAUAUCGACGGCGGUGUUUGGCACCUCGAUGUCGGCUCAUCACAUCCUGGGGCUGAAGUAGGUCCCAAGGGUAUGGCUGUUCGCCAUUUAAAGUGGUACGCGAGCUGGGUUUAGAACGUCGUGAGACAGUUCGGUCCCUAUCUGCCGUGGGCGCUGGAGAACUGAGGGGGGCUGCUCCUAGUACGAGAGGACCGGAGUGGACGCAUCACUGGUGUUCGGGUUGUCAUGCCAAUGGCACUGCCCGGUAGCUAAAUGCGGAAGAGAUAAGUGCUGAAAGCAUCUAAGCACGAAACUUGCCCCGAGAUGAGUUCU